GAUGAACGCUGGCGGCGUGCCUAAUACAUGCAAGUCGAGCGAACGGACGAGAAGCUUGCUUCUCUGAUGUUAGCGGCGGACGGGUGAGUAACACGUGGAUAACCUACCUAUAAGACUGGGAUAACUUCGGGAAACCGUAGCUAAUACCGGAUAAUAUUUUGAACCGCAUGGUUCAAAAGUGAAAGACGGUCUCGCUGUCACUUAUAGAUGGAUCCGCGCUGCAUUAGCUAGUUGGUAAGGUAACGGCUUACCAAGGCAACGAUGCAUAGCCGACCUGAGAGGGUGAUCGGCCACACUGGAACUGAGACACGGUCCAGACUCCUACGGGAGGCAGCAGUAGGGAAUCUUCCGCAAUGGGCGAAAGCCUGACGGAGCAACGCCGCGUGAGUGAUGAAGGUCUACGGAUCGUAAAACUCUGUUAUUAGGGAAGAACAUAUGUGUAAGUAACUGUGCACAUCUUGACGGUACCUAAUCAGAAAGCCACGGCUAACUACGUG
Molecule: ribosomal RNA, 497 nt
Filed under: uncultured bacterium
Lineage: Bacteria
Description: partial 16S ribosomal RNA
Rfam family: Bacterial small subunit ribosomal RNA
Source: RNAcentral